This is a long non-coding RNA of Xyrauchen texanus (razorback sucker), 1200 nucleotides long. RefSeq lists it as uncharacterized. The record is from RefSeq and is a predicted model, not a curated record. The transcript has 4 exons. NCBI's taxonomy places the organism in Eukaryota, Metazoa, Chordata, Actinopteri, Cypriniformes, Catostomidae.
CUCAAGAGGACAUUCAGUUCACUUCUGAACAAGACGUCUAUUUUUGCAGCUGCUCAGUUACGAGCACAAAUCUUUGCUUACGAGUACGAAUCCAAAAGUGCAAAACAGCUGUCAAAAUUACGUCAUUGCUGUCGCAGCCAUUACUAAAAGACUGGAAGAUAAAUCAAUCUGUCAAAGUGCGCAUGCGCGCCCCUGAAUCUCAGCUAGUGGGGGAUGGGCAGUCAUUUCAACCUCAUCGCGGCAAAAUGGCAGAAGAACAAGUACACUCUCACACACCCACUCAGAUCAUGUACCUGGAACCAGCAACGAACAACCGCUCAAACACUGCGCUAUCAUUUCUUCUCAAGUCUGUGCAAAAUUAUGGGUGGCCUUCAAGGUGAGCAGCACCUUUUAUGUCUCAUUCACUUGGAUUAUUAUCAGUAACAUUAUGGCUGCCAUGAAGAAUUUUUAGGGUCAGAGGUGAUGAAGGUGUGGGAAACGUGGGAAGCUUCAUUGCCGGCAAAAGCGUACAUAACCAAAGGUAAUAAAAAAAAGUUUUUUGUCUAAUUGAAGUAAACUUUAGGUGUUAAUCGUCAGUCAUUUCAUUGUAUAGAGGAAAAAGGUUCAAUCAAAUUGAUUGAUGACCAAGACUAACUUUGUGCCUAAUAUAUUGUUGCUCAAAGGAAGGAAAUGGUUUUGAACCACACACAAGCAAGAGUGAAUAAUGGUUCAUGGCGGGACAUCUGGCUUUGCGUGACACAGCAGUAUUAUGACCUUCUUCAGCCUGGAAGAAGAUGGCUUGUUGGACAUGUCAGAUUCUCUUCAUGUGUUUUGUGCACAUUACGUGUUUCUCCCACGUCUAGAGCAUGACUUGCACACUUUUGCUGAAGGCUGGGACAAUCAUCCAUUGCAUACCGAAGGUGGACUCGCUCCUAACCAGCUGUGGAUUCUAGGACACAUGCAGAACUCUUCUGGUGACACAGAGGAGCAUUUGCAGAAUCUGGAGCUGUUUGGACAGACUGGGAGACGUGUGACAGUGUGACAGAAGAAGCCAUUGGAGUUCAUGUAUCUGAAAUUAAGUGCCCCCUCACUCUGUCAAUGAUGGAAACACUAAAAUCAACAUUUAAUCCUCUUAAAUCCUCUGACUCUUAUGGAAGAGAUCUUUAUAUAUCCUUGCUUCAGUAUAUUGAAAGUAUGUUAACAGCACAAAGCCAUGUCUGA